AUUAUGAAAUAAAAUUUGUUGAUGAUGAGAUGAAUAAGUUAAAUUUUGAUUCUAUUCCAGAUAUAAAUGCAGCUAAUUUACAAAGUCUUGCUGCAUUAGCUAGCUUAGCUAACAAUCCAGGAAUUAAUCCAAUGGUUGUGCAGAAUUUGGCAGCUUUAGCUGCUGCUGGGGGUGGAAAUAAUUCUACGGGAAUUACAAGCUUAUCCGCUGCAG
Centruroides sculpturatus (bark scorpion) is the source of this 213-nucleotide long non-coding RNA. RefSeq lists it as uncharacterized. NCBI's taxonomy places the organism in Eukaryota, Metazoa, Arthropoda, Arachnida, Scorpiones, Buthidae. The record is from RefSeq and is a predicted model, not a curated record. The transcript has 2 exons.